Molecule: ribosomal RNA, 619 nt
Filed under: uncultured bacterium
Lineage: Bacteria
Description: bacterial SSU rRNA
Rfam family: Bacterial small subunit ribosomal RNA (bases 1-524)
Source: RNAcentral
CCUACGGGAGGCAGCAGUGGGGAAUAUUGCACAAUGGGCGGAAGCCUGAUGCAGCGACGCCGCGUGAGGGAUGAAGGCCUUCGGGCUGUAAACCUCUUUCAGCAGGGACGAAGCGUGAGUGACGGUACCUGCAGAAGAAGCACCGGCUAACUACGUGCCAGCAGCCGCGGUAAUACGUAGGGUGCGAGCGUUGUCCGGAAUUACUGGGCGUAAAGAGUUCGUAGGCGGUUUGUCGCGUCGUUUGUGAAAACCCGGGGCUCAACUUCGGGCUUGCAGGCGAUACGGGCAGACUUGAGUGUUUCAGGGGAGACUGGAAUUCCUGGUGUAGCGGUGAAAUGCGCAGAUAUCAGGAGGAACACCGGUGGCGAAGGCGGGUCUCUGGGAAACAACUGACGCUGAGGAACGAAAGCGUGGGUAGCAAACAGGAUUAGAUACCCUGGUAGUCCACGCCGUAAACGGUGGGCGCUAGGUGUGGGUUCCUUCCACGGGAUCUGUGCCGUAGCUAACGCAUUAAGCGCCCCGCCUGGGGGUAGGUACGGCCGCGACGGACGUAAACCGUUAAACGGUAAAGUUAGUACGGCGUGAGACGUGCCGACGGACGACGACGACGGGAGGUAGG